AACGAACGCUGGCGGCAUGCCUAACACAUGCAAGUCGAACGAGACCUUCGGGUCUAGUGGCGCACGGGUGCGUAACGCGUGGGAACCUGCCCUUAGGUUCGGAAUAACUCCCCGUAAGGGGUGCUAAUACCGGAUAAUGUCUUCGGACCAAAGAUCUAUCGCCUUUGGAUGGGCCCGCGUUGGAUUAGCUAGUUGGUAGGGUAAAAGCCUACCAAGGCGACGAUCCAUAGCUGGUCUGAGAGGAUGAUCAGCCACACUGGGACUGAGACACGGCCCAGACUCCUACGGGAGGCAGCAGUGGGGAAUAUUGGACAAUGGGCGAUAGCCUGGUCCAGCAAUGCCGCGUGAGUGAUGAAGGCCUUAGGAUUGUAAAGCUCUUUUACACGGGAUGAUAAUGACAGUACCGGGAGAAUAAGCUCCGGCUAACUCCGUG
Molecule: ribosomal RNA, 433 nt
Filed under: uncultured bacterium
Lineage: Bacteria
Description: partial 16S ribosomal RNA
Rfam family: Bacterial small subunit ribosomal RNA
Source: RNAcentral